RNAcentral lists this ribosomal RNA (1678 nucleotides) under Bacillus velezensis. Its description in RNAcentral is "partial 23S ribosomal RNA". It matches the Rfam family "Bacterial large subunit ribosomal RNA", at positions 611 to 2287 of the family's 2925-position model. Lineage: Bacteria; Bacillati; Bacillota; Bacilli; Caryophanales; Bacillaceae. The record is from RNAcentral.
UAGAAUGAACCGGCGAGUUACGAUCCCGUGCAAGGUUAAGCAGAAGAUGCGGAGCCGCAGCGAAAGCGAGUCUGAAUAGGGCGAAUUGAGUACGUGGUCGUAGACCCGAAACCAGGUGAUCUACCCAUGUCCAGGGUGAAGUUCAGGUAACACUGAAUGGAGGCCCGAACCCACGCACGUUGAAAAGUGCGGGGAUGAGGUGUGGGUAGGGGUGAAAUGCCAAUCGAACCUGGAGAUAGCUGGUUCUCUCCGAAAUAGCUUUAGGGCUAGCCUCAAGGUAAGAGUCUCGGAGGUAGAGCACUGAUUGGACUAGGGGCCCCUACCGGGUUACCGAAUUCAGUCAAACUCCGAAUGCCGAUGACUUAUCCUUGGGAGUCAGACUGCGAGUGAUAAGAUCCGUAGUCGAAAGGGAAACAGCCCAGACCGCCAGCUAAGGUCCCAAAGUAUACGUUAAGUGGAAAAGGAUGUGGAGUUGCUUAGACAACCAGGAUGUUGGCUUAGAAGCAGCCACCAUUUAAAGAGUGCGUAAUAGCUCACUGGUCGAGUGACUCUGCGCCGAAAAUGUACCGGGGCUAAACGUAUCACCGAAGCUGCGGACUGUUCUUCGAACAGUGGUAGGAGAGCGUUCUAAGGGCUGUGAAGCAAGACCGGAAGGACUUGUGGAGCGCUUAGAAGUGAGAAUGCCGGUAUGAGUAGCGAAAGAGGGGUGAGAAUCCCCUCCACCGAAUGCCUAAGGUUUCCUGAGGAAGGCUCGUCCGCUCAGGGUUAGUCGGGACCUAAGCCGAGGCCGAAAGGCGUAGGCGAUGGACAACAGGUUGAUAUUCCUGUACCACCUCCUCACCAUUUGAGCAAUGGGGGGACGCAGGAGGAUAGGGUAAGCGCGGUAUUGGAUAUCCGCGUCCAAGCAGUUAGGCUGGGAAAUAGGCAAAUCCGUUUCCCGUGAAGGCUGAGCUGUGAUGGCGAGCGAAUUAUAGUAGCGAAGUUCCUGAUUCCACACUGCCAAGAAAAGCCUCUAGCGAGGUGAGAGGUGCCCGUACCGCAAACCGACACAGGUAGGCGAGGAGAGAAUCCUAAGGUGAUCGAGAGAACUCUCGUUAAGGAACUCGGCAAAAUGACCCCGUAACUUCGGGAGAAGGGGUGCUCUGUUAGGGUGCAAGCCCGAGAGAGCCGCAGUGAAUAGGCCCAGGCGACUGUUUAGCAAAAACACAGGUCUCUGCGAAGCCGUAAGGCGAAGUAUAGGGGCUGACGCCUGCCCGGUGCUGGAAGGUUAAGAGGAGCGCUUAGCGUAAGCGAAGGUGCGAAUUGAAGCCCCAGUAAACGGCGGCCGUAACUAUAACGGUCCUAAGGUAGCGAAAUUCCUUGUCGGGUAAGUUCCGACCCGCACGAAAGGCGCAACGAUCUGGGCACUGUCUCAACGAGAGACUCGGUGAAAUUAUAGUACCUGUGAAGAUGCAGGUUACCCGCGACAGGACGGAAAGACCCCGUGGAGCUUUACUGCAGCCUGAUAUUGAAUGUUGGUACAGCUUGUACAGGAUAGGUAGGAGCCUUGGAAACCGGAGCGCCAGCUUCGGUGGAGGCAUCGGUGGGAUACUACCCUGGCUGUAUUGACCUUCUAACCCGCCGCCCUUAUCGGGCGGGGAGACAGUGUCAGGUGGGCAGUUUGACUGGGGCGGUCGCC